AUACGGAGGGUGCAAGCGUUAAGCGGAAUUACUGGGCGUAAAGCGUGCGUAGGUGGUUUGUUAAGUCAGAUGUGAAAGCCCCGGGCUCAACCUGGGAACUGCAUUUGAAACUGGCAUACUAGAGUAUAGGAGAGGAAAGUGGAAUUUCAGGUGUAGCGGUGAAAUGCGUAGAUAUCUGAAGGAACAUCAAUGGCGAAGGCAGCUUUCUGGACUAAUACUGACACUGAGGUACGAAAGCGUGGGUAGCAAACAGGAUUAGAAACCCUAGUAGUCC
Molecule: ribosomal RNA, 274 nt
Filed under: uncultured bacterium
Lineage: Bacteria
Description: partial 16S ribosomal RNA
Rfam family: Bacterial small subunit ribosomal RNA
Source: RNAcentral